UAACGUACCCAUCAGAGGGGGAUAACAACUUGGAAACAGGUGCUAAUACCGCAUAACAGUUUAUGCCGCAUGGCAUAAGAGUGAAAGGCGCUUUCGGGUGUCGCUGAUGGAUGGACCCGCGGUGCAUUAGCUAGUUGGUGAGGUAACGGCUCACCAAGGCCACGAUGCAUAGCCGACCUGAGAGGGUGAUCGGCCACACUGGGACUGAGACACGGCCCAG
RNAcentral lists this ribosomal RNA (220 nucleotides) under uncultured bacterium. RNAcentral's name for it is "partial 16S ribosomal RNA". It matches the Rfam family "Bacterial small subunit ribosomal RNA", at positions 122 to 334 of the family's 1533-position model. The record is from RNAcentral.